The sequence is a regulatory RNA element, 103 nucleotides long. It matches the Rfam family "Alpha operon ribosome binding site". From Rfam's summary of the family: The bacterial alpha operon ribosome binding site is surrounded by this complex pseudoknotted structure. Translation of the mRNA produces 4 ribosomal protein products, one of which (S4) acts as a translational repressor by binding to the nested pseudoknot region. The record is from Rfam.
AUACUUAAAUAUCUAUUGCUCGCCCUAUUAAAGUGGGCGCUAAAGAGCAACACAAUGUGGAGUACAUUGAAUGGCCCGUAUCGCUGGUGUCAACAUACCCGAU